Molecule: ribosomal RNA, 406 nt
Filed under: uncultured bacterium
Lineage: Bacteria
Description: partial 16S ribosomal RNA
Rfam family: Bacterial small subunit ribosomal RNA
Source: RNAcentral
AUUGAACGCUGGCGGCAGGCCUAACACAUGCAAGUCGAACGAGCGGCGGACGGGUGAGUAAUGUCUGGGAAACUGCCUGAUGGAGGGGGAUAACUACUGGAAACGGUAGCUAAUACCGCAUACCAUCGGAUGUGCCCAGAUGGGAUUAGCUAGUAGGUGGGGUAAAGGCUCACAUAGGCGACGAGCCCCAGCUGGUCUGAGAGGAUGACCGGCCACACGGGAACUGAGACACGGUCCAGACUCCUACGAGAGGCAGCAGUGGGGAAUAUUGCACAAUGGGCGAAAGCCUGAUGCAGCAAUGCCGCGUGAAUGAUGAAGGCCUUCGGGUUGUAAAGUACUUUCAGCGGGGAGGCGUUACCCGCAGAAGAAGCACCGGCUAACUCCGUGCCAGCAGCCGCGGUAAUAC